Molecule: unclassified non-coding RNA, 264 nt
Filed under: Ceratobasidium sp.
Lineage: Eukaryota; Fungi; Basidiomycota; Agaricomycetes; Cantharellales; Ceratobasidiaceae
Description: partial internal transcribed spacer region
Rfam family: Eukaryotic small subunit ribosomal RNA (bases 1-46)
Source: RNAcentral
AAGUCGUAACAAGGUUUCCGUAGGUGAACCUGCGGAAGGAUCAUUAAUGAAUGAAUGUAGAGUUGGUUGUAGCUGGCCUCCCCGAGGCAUGUGCACACUUUCUCUUUCAUCCACACACCCCUGUGCACUCGUGAGACGGAGGCGUUUUCCUUUAAUCGGGAUGGUCUCCGUCUACUAUCACAUAAAAUCUAAUUUAAUUAAAACCGAAUGUAAUUGAUGUAACGCAUCUAAUACAAAGUUUCAACAACGGAUCUCUUGGCUCUC